Eriocheir sinensis (Chinese mitten crab) is the source of this 2921-nucleotide long non-coding RNA. RefSeq lists it as uncharacterized. The transcript is spliced from 3 exons. NCBI's taxonomy places the organism in Eukaryota, Metazoa, Arthropoda, Malacostraca, Decapoda, Varunidae. The record is from RefSeq and is a predicted model, not a curated record.
GCCGAAGUGCAUGUCCAGUCCUUACUAAUACUUAUGUUAAUCUUCCUCCUCCUCCUCCUCUUCUUCCUUCUCCUUAUUCCUCUUCUCUUCUUAUCUCGCUCUCCUCUUCCUCCUUCUCCUACUCCUCCUGCCAAAGUGAUGUCCUGUCCUUGCUAAUACUUAUGUUAAUCUUCCUCCUCCUCCUCCUCCUCUUCAUCCUUCUCCUUAUUCCUCCUCUUCUUCCUUCUCCUUAUUCCUCCUCUUCUUCACCUAUCUCCUCUCUUCUUAUCUCGCUCUCCUCCUCCUCCUCUUCCUCUUCCUCUCAUCAAAUUGCUCUUUCUUCCUUCCUAUUUCUGUUUUUUUCUUUCUUUUUCAUUCUUGUUUCCUCUUUAACUCCCCACCUCUCUAUCUCUCUCUCUUCCUCUUCUUAUCUUUAAAUCUCUUUCCGCUUCCUCUUUUAUCACAUUAUUCACUCUCCUUCCUUUCUUACAAUCAUUUUCGUUUUCAUUUUUCAUCAUUCAUUUUAAUCCUAAGUUUGUAUGAAUGAGUGAAGAUUAUUGUAUGCAUGUUUUAAGGUAGGCCUAUUUGCUUCAUCAUUCAUAUUAAUCCUGAGUUUGGAUGAAUGAGUGAAGGUGUAUGCAUGUUUUAAGGUAGGCCUAUUUGCUUCAUCAUUCAUAUUAAUCCUAAGUUUGGAUGAAUGAGUGAAGUAUUGUACGCAUGUUUCAAGGUAUCUGUACGCCACUGCUAUGGGUUAUUGAUCAAGGCUGUGUGGUAUUGUAAUAUUAUAAUGUUUUGGUGUGUGGCACAGAACGCUGAACACAAGCCACAGUUACACAUAUUACACUAAUUAAUCACACAUAUAUAUACACAAGACACAUGAUUGCACUUAUUAACACGCUCAUUAUUACAAUAUUUUAGUGUCCUUACGUUACAUUCCAGAUUAACUCUACGCUUUUAAAACCACACAUUCAAUACGUAUGAAGUUUGUAACACUAAAAUCAUAAUUCAACAUUCAACAUCAUUCCCUUUGUAAUAUUAGAACAUUCACUUCAAUCUAUAUUUCUCCCUCUCUUAGUGUGUUACCUAUGCCAAUUUUAUAUACAUAGGCCUAUUAACACUAAACCUUCACUGUCAUUCCCUCUGUUAAUACGUUAUUGAUAGUAGGCCUAUUUUUUUAUGUAUAUUCACAAGAUAUGUUUAACUAAUAACUCGGUAUUGUUUUAUAUAUAUAUGAACACUAAACAGUCACUCCAAAUUCCUUUCUAAGUAAGUUCAUGCAAUUAUUUUACAUAUAUCAACACCUUCAGCUCAUACAAAGAAGUACAAGGUAUGUUUAAUUAAGUUACAGGUGUUAGAGGUCAUGAACUCCUUCUUUUACUCUAUACAGACAAACAAGAAUGGUGGUGGUGGUGGCUGAGUGGUGUGCGUGUUUGCGUGUGUGUGUGUGUGUGUGUGUGUGUGUCCGUGUGUGUGCGUGUGUGUGCGCAGUAAUUCUCUACCUCAGGACCAAUAUAUAGUACAAAGGUCAUGACAACUCCACUUCAAGGGUGCCUGUGUGGGGCUGACCUCCGGGUGACCUCUGACCUCACCCCGGGGCACCUCAGGACGACCCCAAGGUGUGUCAAGGUGUGUAUUAGCUGGCCAGUCAGAUUGUGUUGCUAGUGUUGCCAUUGUGUUUCUUUGGGCAGUCAUUGUGUUGCCAUAGUGUUUCUUUGGACAGUCAUUGUGUUGCUAUAGUGUUUCUUUGGGCAGUCAUUGUGUUGCCAUAGUGUUUCUUUGGGCAGUCAUUGUGUUGCCAUAGUGUUUCUUUGGGCAGUCAUUGUGUUGCCAUAGUGUUUCUUUGGACAGUCACUGUGUUGCCAUAGUGUUUCUUUGGGCAGUCAUUGUGUUGCUAUAGUGUUUCUUUGGACAGUCAUUGUGUUGCCAUAGUGUUUCUCGGGACAGUCAUUGUGUUGCUAUAGUGUUUCUUUGGACAGUCAUUGUGUUGCUAUAGUGUUUCUUUGGGCAGUCAUUGUGUUGCCAUAGUGUUUCUUUGGGCAGUCAUUGUGUUGCUAUAGUGUUUCUUUGGACAGUCAUUGUGUUGCUAUAGUGUUUCUUUGGACAGUCAUUGUGUUGCCAUAGUGUUUCUUUGGGCAGUCAUUGUGUUGCUAUAGUGUUUCUUUGGGCAGUCAUUGUGUUACUAUAAUGUUUCUUUGGGCAGUCAUUGUGUUGCUAUAGUGUUUCUUUGGGCAGUCAUUGUGUUGCUAUAGUGUUUCUUUGGACAGUCAUUGUGUUGCCAUAGUGUUUCUUUGGGCAGUCAUUGUGUUGCUAUAGUGUUUCUUUGGGCAGUCAUUGUGUUGCCAUAGUGUUUCUUUGGGCAGUCAUUGUGUUGCUAUAGUGUUUCUUUGGGCAGUCAUUGUGUUACUAUAGUGUUUCUUUGGGCAGUCAUUGUGUUGCCAUAGUGUUUCUUUGGAUAGUCAUUGUGUUGCUAUAGUGUUUCUCCAGUGAGUCAAUGGUUGUGUUGCAUCUAUGUCACCUGUCCAUAAGUUUGUGUUACCAGGUCAUCGGUUAAGUUGUGUUGCGUGUUUACCAGUGUUAGUGUUGCCUGGCUGGGGGUCAUUCAGGUCACUCAGGUUGUCUUGUGUCAGUGCGUUUUGUGUUUCAUGGGUCAGGUCAGGUCAUGUGUUGCAGGUACCUCAAGUCCAUAGUGCCCCAGUGUUGCAUAUGUGUUGCUGGUCAGGUUGUGUUGUAUCAGUCAGUCAGGUUAUGUUGUAUUAGUCAGUCAGGUUGUGUUAUGGUCCAGUGUGUUCCUAUUCAAGUUGCAGUGUUACCUCAGUCUAUGGUGUCCCAGUGUUGCAUUUGUGUUGCUGGCCAGUGUUUUGUAUCAUCAGUCUGUCAGUCAGGUUGUGUUGCAUUCCAGUGUGUUCCUAUUCAAGUUGCAGUGUUACCUCAGUCUAUGGUGU